GAUGAACGCUGGCGGCGUGCCUAAUACAUGCAAGUCGAGCGAACAGACGAGGAGCUUGCUCCUCUGACGUUAGCGGCGGACGGGUGAGUAACACGUGGGUAACCUACCUAUAAGACUGGGAUAACUUCGGGAAACCGGAGCUAAUACCGGAUAAUAUAUUGAACCGCAUGGUUCAAUAGUGAAAGACGGUUUUGCUGUCACUUAUAGAUGGAUCCGCGCCGCACUAGCUAGUUGGUAAGGUAACGGCUUACCAAGGCAACGAUGCGUAGCCGACCUGAGAGGGUGAUCGGCCACACUGGAACUGAGACACGGUCCAGACUCCUACGGGAGGCAGCAGUAGGGAAUCUUCCGCAAUGGGCGAAAGCCUGACGGAGCAACGCCGCGUGAGUGAUGAAGGUCUUCGGAUCGUAAAACUCUGUUAUUAGGGAAGAACAAAUGUGUAAGUAACUAUGCACGUCUUGACGGUACCUAAUCAGAAAGCCACGGCUAACUACGUG
RNAcentral lists this ribosomal RNA (497 nucleotides) under uncultured bacterium. RNAcentral describes it as "partial 16S ribosomal RNA". It matches the Rfam family "Bacterial small subunit ribosomal RNA", at positions 28 to 507 of the family's 1533-position model. The record is from RNAcentral.